GCCUGGGUGGCUCAGUCAGUUAAGCGUCUGACUUCAGUUCAGGUCGUGAUCUCAUGGCCUGUGGGUUUGAGCCCCACGUCCGGCU
Felis catus (domestic cat) is the source of this 85-nucleotide non-coding RNA. The record is from Rfam. NCBI's taxonomy places the organism in Eukaryota, Metazoa, Chordata, Mammalia, Carnivora, Felidae.